UACGGGGGGUGCGAGCGUUGUCCGGAAUCACUGGGCGUAAAGGGCGCGUAGGUGGUCUGAUAAGGGUGUGGUGAAAGCCCGGGGCUCAACCCCGGGUCGGCCGUGCCGACUGUUAGACUAGAGUACUGUAGGGGCAGGCGGAAUUCCGGGUGUAGCGGUGAAAUGCGCAGAUAUCAGGAGGAACACCGGUGGCGAAAGCGCUCUACUGGACGGUGACUGACACUCAGGGACGAAAGCUAGGGGAGCGAAUGGG
Molecule: ribosomal RNA, 253 nt
Filed under: uncultured bacterium
Lineage: Bacteria
Description: partial 16S ribosomal RNA
Rfam family: Bacterial small subunit ribosomal RNA
Source: RNAcentral